Molecule: non-coding RNA, 854 nt
Organism: Prunus avium (sweet cherry)
Lineage: Eukaryota; Viridiplantae; Streptophyta; Magnoliopsida; Rosales; Rosaceae
Source: RefSeq, a predicted model, not a curated record
CCAGACUCAACGUUUAUAAACCCAACUCAAAAGCUUGAAGCAACCUUCCUUUUUCAUUCUCUGAAUUUCCCAGUUGACAACUCCUGAGGAAUUUUCUUUAUUUUGUUAUGCCAACUCUUGGCAUGAUUUAUUCUUGUACAAGAUUGAAUAAAGAAAUCUUCAAUCUCCAUUUUAAUUUUGUACCAGGUCUAAAUAGAGAAAUCUUCAGGCUGUGUUGUUCCUUUUUCUUUCAAGUUGUCCAAAUAGAGAAAUAUUCCAAUAAACUUAUGUCAUUUCCACUACCGUUCAAUUUUAGCUUCUGUCAGUUAUAAUUUUCGCACUAGAUGAAUAUUGAAGUCCUCUUAAUUGAGGCAUAGAAAAGAACCUUGUAUUGGGUCAAUUCCCCACCCAAUCCACAAUCAAUUGAUUAAAGUCAAUGUCGGUGUGCAUUUUUCAGUCUUACCAUUCUUAGUCUGUUGGAGUUUUUCACUGCCAACAGUGGCACGCGUUCGCAAUCGCAACAAGAAAACUCCACGGUCAAACCCCACGCGAAUGGCCGGCGGGUCCUUUUCGGGCUAGACCAGCUGUAGGUCGGCUGCAUUAAUGAGGUUGAUUGAAUUAAUGAGUUUGGCUCUACUUUGGGAGGCUGCUGCAAUCUCCAGGAUUAGGGGCUCAAGGAUUUGGAGCUCAAGACCAGCUGCAACCCACCUACUUGUGAUUAAUAUUGAGCUUGGUUAGCAAGCCUACUUCUUGUAUAAAUUUUUGCUGUAAUUAAUAUUGAGCUUGGUCUAGCAGUAUACUGUAUUGCUGAAUGUAGUUACACAAUGAACAAAUCAAAUGUCUUUAUAGACAACUUUCCAGAAGAGAAUUGAAUU